AAGCAGGAUUCAGACAACAGUGUAGCUGCUAAGUGCUGUGUAGUAGCUCCGUCUGCUCAAAAUAAAGUCGUUUCCUGACUAUACCUGUCUGCUCUACACUGUAGCAGCCAGGGAUGCUUGAUUUCAUAGAU
Molecule: small nucleolar RNA, 131 nt
Organism: Hyaena hyaena (striped hyena)
Lineage: Eukaryota; Metazoa; Chordata; Mammalia; Carnivora; Hyaenidae
Product: small nucleolar RNA SNORA63
Exons: 1
Source: RefSeq, a predicted model, not a curated record